UUGCAAAUAUUCUCGUUCUGAUUUUGUAAUAAUCAGGACAGGCUAAACAUUUGCUAUAUUAAGACCAUUCAUGUGUUCCCCAGACCUACUUCUUUACCUAUGUCUGGUCUUACAAAUGCUGGUGACAAAA
This is a small nucleolar RNA of Oryctolagus cuniculus (rabbit), 130 nucleotides long. Its record names the gene SNORA72. It matches the Rfam family "Small nucleolar RNA SNORA72". Rfam says of the family: U72 is a member of the H/ACA class of snoRNAs. The snoRNA gene is located in intron 4 of the ribosomal L30 protein gene in human, mouse and chicken. The record is from Ensembl. Lineage: Eukaryota; Metazoa; Chordata; Mammalia; Lagomorpha; Leporidae.